Molecule: ribosomal RNA, 396 nt
Filed under: uncultured bacterium
Lineage: Bacteria
Description: partial 16S ribosomal RNA
Rfam family: Bacterial small subunit ribosomal RNA
Source: RNAcentral
CCUACGGGGUGCAGCAGUGAGGAAUAUUGGUCAAUGGGCGAGAGCCUGAACCAGCCAAGUAGCGUGAAGGAUGACUUCCCUACGGGUUGUAAACUUCUUUUAUAAAGGAAUAAUGUGAUGCACGUGUGCCUUUUUGUAUGUACUUUAUGAAUAAGGAUCGGCUAACUCCGUGCCAGCCGCCGCGGUGAUACGGAGGAACCGAGCGUUAUCCGGCUUUAAUGGGUUUAAAGGGAGCGUAGAUGGGUUGUUAAGUCAGUUGGGAAAGUUUGGGGCUCAACCCGAACAUUGCAAUUGAUACUGGCAGACUUGAGUACAGGUGAGGUAAGCGGAAUUCGUGGUGUAGCAGUGAAAUGCUUAGAUAUCACGAAGAACUCCGAUUGCGAAGGCAGCUUACUA